AAAUAUAGCAAUCACAUUGCAAUUCACCAUGAAAAUUCACCUAAGAGUUAUGUUGUCUUCAUAUGAAAUAGAAUUAAAGUGAAUGAAUGAAGACUACAGUACCCUGAACUGAGGUCCUGGGAUUAACUAAAGAGCAAGAGCUUGUAAAGCCAACAGUUGAGGUUCUUCAGUGUAUAUUAUAUAUGGCCAUCUCAUCAGAUAAACUUAAAAGGAUCUCUGUCAUCUUCUCCUAGUGCUCCCUGGAGAAUAGAUGGUCAAAAAGUGAACUGUUUUUCUGGUUGCCAAUCACAUCCAAUUCUUGAGUCUGUGCACUGCCUACACAACCACUGCUGUUGCUUCAAACAAGCAGUCCUAAGUGCAGUGAAAAAGUAUUUUUGUCAGUGAAAUGCUGUCUAUGGAAUCAUGGAUAAACCCACAUUUUCCUCAACCAGCUUCUUCUAUGGAA
Molecule: long non-coding RNA, 445 nt
Organism: Melozone crissalis (California towhee)
Lineage: Eukaryota; Metazoa; Chordata; Aves; Passeriformes; Passerellidae
Exons: 3
Source: RefSeq, a predicted model, not a curated record